RNAcentral lists this long non-coding RNA (201 nucleotides) under Elaeis guineensis (African oil palm). RNAcentral's name for it is "long non-coding RNA (EGUI_LNC025053)". The record is from RNAcentral. Lineage: Eukaryota; Viridiplantae; Streptophyta; Magnoliopsida; Arecales; Arecaceae.
CUACCAAUAUCAGUAACUUUUAGCUUUUUUAAAUAAUCUGAAAGAGCCCAGUGAAGAAAUGGCCGGUAAAAUCUCAGCCCACAAUGAUAUAACAGAAUGACGGAGAAUUACCAAUCUCUUCGUCUGCCCAAAUUAGUGAAUGAAGAAUAUGCCAUACGACUUCCAAUUGGGGGGGUUGUUCAUGCAAACACAAUGGGCCGC